This 1274-nucleotide ribosomal RNA is filed under the name Staphylococcus aureus. RNAcentral's name for it is "bacterial SSU rRNA". It matches the Rfam family "Bacterial small subunit ribosomal RNA", at positions 1 to 1256 of the family's 1533-position model. The record is from RNAcentral. Lineage: Bacteria; Bacillati; Bacillota; Bacilli; Caryophanales; Staphylococcaceae.
UUUAUGGAGAGUUUGAUCCUGGCUCAGGAUGAACGCUGGCGGCGUGCCUAAUACAUGCAAGUCGAGCGAACGGACGAGAAGCUUGCUUCUCUGAUGUUAGCGGCGGACGGGUGAGUAACACGUGGAUAACCUACCUAUAAGACUGGGAUAACUUCGGGAAACCGGAGCUAAUACCGGAUAAUAUUUUGAACCGCAUGGUUCAAAAGUGAAAGACGGUCUUGCUGUCACUUAUAGAUGGAUCCGCGCUGCAUUAGCUAGUUGGUAAGGUAACGGCUUACCAAGGCAACGAUGCAUAGCCGACCUGAGAGGGUGAUCGGCCACACUGGAACUGAGACACGGUCCAGACUCCUACGGGAGGCAGCAGUAGGGAAUCUUCCGCAAUGGGCGAAAGCCUGACGGAGCAACGCCGCGUGAGUGAUGAAGGUCUUCGGAUCGUAAAACUCUGUUAUUAGGGAAGAACAUAUGUGUAAGUAACUGUGCACAUCUUGACGGUACCUAAUCAGAAAGCCACGGCUAACUACGUGCCAGCAGCCGCGGUAAUACGUAGGUGGCAAGCGUUAUCCGGAAUUAUUGGGCGUAAAGCGCGCGUAGGCGGUUUUUUAAGUCUGAUGUGAAAGCCCACGGCUCAACCGUGGAGGGUCAUUGGAAACUGGAAAACUUGAGUGCAGAAGAGGAAAGUGGAAUUCCAUGUGUAGCGGUGAAAUGCGCAGAGAUAUGGAGGAACACCAGUGGCGAAGGCGACUUUCUGGUCUGUAACUGACGCUGAUGUGCGAAAGCGUGGGGAUCAAACAGGAUUAGAUACCCUGGUAGUCCACGCCGUAAACGAUGAGUGCUAAGUGUUAGGGGGUUUCCGCCCCUUAGUGCUGCAGCUAACGCAUUAAGCACUCCGCCUGGGGAGUACGACCGCAAGGUUGAAACUCAAAGGAAUUGACGGGGACCCGCACAAGCGGUGGAGCAUGUGGUUUAAUUCGAAGCAACGCGAAGAACCUUACCAAAUCUUGACAUCCUUUGACAACUCUAGAGAUAGAGCUUUCCCCUUCGGGGGACAAAGUGACAGGUGGUGCAUGGUUGUCGUCAGCUCGUGUCGUGAGAUGUUGGGUUAAGUCCCGCAACGAGCGCAACCCUUAAGCUUAGUUGCCAUCAUUAAGUUGGGCACUCUAAGUUGACUGCCGGUGACAAACCGGAGGAAGGUGGGGAUGACGUCAAAUCAUCAUGCCCCUUAUGAUUUGGGCUACACACGUGCUACAAUGGACAAUACAAAGGGCAGCGAAACC